GUCCACGCCGUAAACGAUGGAUACUAGCUGUUCGAGAGCAAUCUUGAGUGGCUAAGCGAAAGUGAUAAGUAUCCCACCUGGGGAGUACGUUCGCAAGAAUGAAACUCAAAGGAAUUGACGGGGGCCCGCACAAGCGGUGGAGCAUGUGGUUUAAUUCGAUGAUACGCGAGGAACCUUACCAAGGCUUAAAUGUAGAUUGACCGGUUUGGAAACAGACCUUUCGCAAGACAAUUUACAAGGUGCUGCAUGGUUGUCGU
Molecule: ribosomal RNA, 257 nt
Filed under: uncultured bacterium
Lineage: Bacteria
Description: partial 16S ribosomal RNA
Rfam family: Bacterial small subunit ribosomal RNA
Source: RNAcentral